GGGGGUAGAGCACUGGAUGGGCUAGGGGGUCUCACCGACUUACCAAACCUAACCAAACUCCGAAUACCGAUGAGUACUAUCUGGCAGACAGACCACGGGUGCUAAGGUCCGUGGUCAAGAGGGAAACAGCCCUGACCGCCAUCUAAGGUCCCUAAGUCAUGGCUAAGUGGGAAAGGAUGUGAGAAUCCCAAAACAACCAGGAGGUUGGCUUAGAAGCAGCCAUCCUUUAAAGAAAGCGUAACAGCUCACUGGUCUAA
Molecule: ribosomal RNA, 257 nt
Filed under: Isochrysis galbana
Lineage: Eukaryota; Haptophyta; Isochrysidales; Isochrysidaceae
Description: partial Bacterial large subunit ribosomal RNA
Rfam family: Bacterial large subunit ribosomal RNA
Source: RNAcentral